GUCCUCUUGCUGCCAUUGACAGAAGCAAGUGAGGUCCUCAAAGGUUCGAGAGAAACAUUUCAGGGGCUCUGAAUCCACGGCGAGCAAGGAGGUAUCUGAGGAACAGCUGAGAUGAGGAAACUGAGAUGCAGGGAAGUUAAAAGAUUUACCCAAGAUCACAGAUCUACGGAGACUUAAAGCUCAGGAGGUCAAGUUUCAGAACCCAAGCACUUAACAACCACGCCAGGCGAUUGGAAGGCGUAAAUCCAUUGAGAAAUGACUGCCUCACAACCAUAACAAAAUGGUGGCUAUUUCCACUUUAAUGGGUUCUGUAAAUUUGUGCAACAUUCUCCCUGGAACUGAAUGUGCACCCUCCGUUGUGGGUAGUCCCCAGCUGUCUCUUGUCCUUUGCGACUCAAAGGGUGGUUUGUGGACCAGCAGCAACAGCAUUAUCUGGGAGCUUGUUAGAAAUGCGAAAUCUUAGGCCGCCCCCUGGACCUACUAAAACAGAAUCUGCACUUUACCAAAAUCCCCAGGGGAUUCAAAUACACAUUGACGUUUGCAAAGCACUGGUCUCAAGUGGCUCAGCUUGUGCUCAUCUUCUUCACAUCAAUAGCAAAAGAGUAGGUAUGAUCCUUUGUCUGAAGCCCAGCCUCCUCCUGGGGCUGUUUUAACUAUGGGUAGCUUUUAUGUUACCUCUCAGGAGCUUUGACUCUUGCAGGGUAGAGGGGAGUGCGUGCCACAUUAGCUCCAAGAUUUAGCCCUUCUGGCUUCAGCUACAGCUAUCAUUGCUGGCUCUACAGGCUAAGUGGCCUCAAUAUCACCUUUCUCUCCUCCUCCUCAAUUAAUGUUACUUAUAGAGAGAUGGAGGGGGGGGUGUGUGGUUGGAGAGAAUAAAUGGAAAUCCUUUAGCCUUCCUGUGAGGGCUUAGCUUCUCUGGCACUGCUUCUCUGCAAGAAGUCCCUGAGGCCAGGUUUGUUCAGUUCCUGCCCAGCUCUCAGGUUACAAGGACCAACUUCCUCUGUCCAAUGGGGAUGACUUUGGAUGCCUCCCCAGCCCCCAGUCAAGGGCCACCCAACCUCCAGGUCAAGUGAGAGGGAAGGAAACACAUCUUUCAUGUUCACAGGGUCCUGAUGCUUUGACACUAUGUAUAUGCCCAUGACUUCAAAACUAGUAUCCCCAGCUGUGACGUCCCCUGGGCUCCAGGUUUGGAUUGCCAACUACCUACUUGGCAUCUCUACUUGCAUGUCUAAUGGGCAUCUUACACUUAAAAUGGCCAAAAUAAAACUCGAUUCUGG
Suricata suricatta (meerkat) is the source of this 1277-nucleotide long non-coding RNA. RefSeq lists it as uncharacterized. The record is from RefSeq and is a predicted model, not a curated record. The transcript has 3 exons. Lineage: Eukaryota; Metazoa; Chordata; Mammalia; Carnivora; Herpestidae.